ACGACGCUGGCGGCGUGCCUAAUACAUGCAAGUCGAACGGCUUUUCUAUGGAAGCUUGCUUCCACUGAGAAGAUAGUGGCGAACGGGUGAGUAACACGUGGGUAACCUGCCCAUAAGAGGGGGAUAACAUCCGGAAACGGGUGCUAAUACCGCAUAGUUUUCUUGAUCGCAUGAUUGAGAAAGGAAAGACGGCCUUUGUGCUGUCGCUUAUGGAUGGACCCGCGGCGUAUUAGUUAGUUGGUGAGGUAAUGGCUCACCAAGACGAUGAUACGUAGCCGACCUGAGAGGGUGAUCGGCCACAUUGGGACUGAGACACGGCCCAAACUCCUACGGGAGGCAGCAGUAGGGAAUCUUCCGCAAUGGACGAAAGUCUGACGGAGCAGCGCCGCGUGAGUGAAGAAAAGGGUUUUCGGAUCGUAAAACUCUGUUGUCAGAGAAGAACAAGUUGGAGAGUAACUGCUCCAGCCUUGACGGUAUCUGACCAGAAAGCCACGGCUAACUACGUGCCAGCAGCCGC
Molecule: ribosomal RNA, 517 nt
Filed under: uncultured bacterium
Lineage: Bacteria
Description: bacterial SSU rRNA
Rfam family: Bacterial small subunit ribosomal RNA
Source: RNAcentral